CCUACGGGUGGCAGCAGUGGGGAAUAUUGCGCAAUGGGGGAAACCCUGAUGCAGCAACGCCGCGUGAAGGAAGACGGUUUUCGGAUUGUAAACUUCUGUGAUAGGUGAAGAAUAGUAACGGUAGCUCAGAAGCAAGCCCAGGCUAACUACGGGCCAGCAGCCGCGGUAAUACGUAGGUGGCAAGCGUUGUUCGGAAUUACUGGGUGUAAAGGGCGGGGAGGCGGGAAGGCAAGUCAGGUGUGAAAACCAGGGGCUUAACUUGCAGACUGCAGUUGAAACUGGUUUUCUUGAGUGAAGUAGAGGUAGGCGGAAUUCCGAGUGUAGCGGUGAAAUGCGUAGAUAUUCGGAGGAACACCAGUGGCGAAGGCGGCCAACUGGGCUUUAACUGACGCUGAGGCUCGAAAGUGUGGGGAGCAAACAGGAUUAGAUACCCCAGUAGUC
Molecule: ribosomal RNA, 441 nt
Filed under: uncultured bacterium
Lineage: Bacteria
Description: partial 16S ribosomal RNA
Rfam family: Bacterial small subunit ribosomal RNA
Source: RNAcentral